UCCCAGUUCGGAUUGUAGUCUGCAACCCGACUACAUGAAGCCGGAAUCGCUAGUAAUCGCGGAUCAGAAUGCCGCGGUGAAUACGUUCCCGGGUCUUGUACACACCGCCCGUCACACCAUGGGAGUUGGAAAUGCCCGAAGUCAGUGGCCCAACCGGAAGGGGGGAGCUGCCGAAGGCAGGUUCGAUGACUGGGGUGAAGUCGUAACAAGGUAAC
Molecule: ribosomal RNA, 215 nt
Filed under: uncultured bacterium
Lineage: Bacteria
Description: partial 16S ribosomal RNA
Rfam family: Bacterial small subunit ribosomal RNA
Source: RNAcentral